GACGGAGGGUGCUAGCGUUGUUCGGAAUGACUGGGCGUAAAGGGCGCGUAGGCGGCUCGUGAAGUCGGGUGUGAAAGCCCGGGGCUCAACCCCGGAACUGCAUCCGAUACUGGUCGGCUUGAAUCCGGGAGAGGGAUGCAAAAUUCCAGGUGUAGCGGUGAAAUGCGUAGAUAUCUGGAGGAAUACCGGUGGCGAAGGCGGCAUCCUGGACCGGCAUUGACGCUGAACAGCGAAAGCUAGGGGAGCAAACGGG
RNAcentral lists this ribosomal RNA (253 nucleotides) under uncultured bacterium. RNAcentral's name for it is "partial 16S ribosomal RNA". It matches the Rfam family "Bacterial small subunit ribosomal RNA", at positions 524 to 776 of the family's 1533-position model. The record is from RNAcentral.